GCUGGGCGUGGUGCAGUACGCCUGUGGUCCCAGCUACUUGGGAGGCUGAGAUGGGAGGAUCGCUUGAGCCCAGGAGAUCAAGGCUGCAAUGAGCUAUAAUCAUGCCACUGCACUCCAGCCUGGGAGACAUAGUGAGACCCUGUCUCAA
This is a non-coding RNA of Homo sapiens (human), 148 nucleotides long. It matches the Rfam family "Metazoan signal recognition particle RNA". Rfam says of the family: The signal recognition particle (SRP) is a universally conserved ribonucleoprotein. It is involved in the co-translational targeting of proteins to membranes. Lineage: Eukaryota; Metazoa; Chordata; Mammalia; Primates; Hominidae. The record is from Rfam.